UACGUAGGUGGCAAGCGUUGUCCGGAUUUAUUGGGCUUAAAGGGUGCGUAGGCGGCCCUGUAAGUCAGUGCUGAAAUCUCCCGGCUUAACCGGGAGGGUGGCAUUGAUACUGCAGGGCUUGAGUACAGAUGAAGUAGGCGGAAUUGACGGUGUAGCGGUGAAAUGCAUAGAUAUCGUCAAGAACACCGAUAGCGAAGGCAGCUUACUAAGCUGUAACUGACGCUGAGGCACGAAAGUGUGGGGAUCAAACAGG
RNAcentral lists this ribosomal RNA (253 nucleotides) under uncultured bacterium. RNAcentral's name for it is "partial 16S ribosomal RNA". It matches the Rfam family "Bacterial small subunit ribosomal RNA", at positions 524 to 776 of the family's 1533-position model. The record is from RNAcentral.